UACGAGGGGGGCAAGCGUUGUUCGGAAUUAUUGGGCGUAAAGGGUGCGUAGGCUGUGCGGUAAGUCACCUGUGAAAUCUCUGGGCUCAACCCAGAGCCUGCAGGCGAAACUGCCGUGCUGGAGUAUGGGAGAGGUGCGUGGAAUUCCCGGUGUAGCGGUGAAAUGCGUAGAUAUCGGAAGGAACACCCGUGGCGAAAGCGGCGCGCUGGACCACAACUGACGCUGAGGAACGAAAGCUAGGGGAGCAAACAGG
Molecule: ribosomal RNA, 253 nt
Filed under: uncultured bacterium
Lineage: Bacteria
Description: partial 16S ribosomal RNA
Rfam family: Bacterial small subunit ribosomal RNA
Source: RNAcentral